AUUGAACGCUGGCGGCAGGCCUAACACAUGCAAGUCGAGCGGAUGAGAGGAGCUUGCUCCUCGAUUCAGCGGCGGACGGGUGAGUAAUGCCUAGGAAUCUGCCUAGUAGUGGGGGACAACGUUUCGAAAGGAACGCUAAUACCGCAUACGUCCUACGGGAGAAAGUGGGGGAUAUUCGGACCUCACGCUAUUAGAUGAGCCCAGGUCGGAUUAGCUAGUUGGUAGGGUAACGGCCUACCAAGGCGGCGAUCCGUAACUGGUCUGAGAGGAUGGUCAGUCACACUGGAACUGAGACACGGUCCAGACUCCUACGGGAGGCAGCAGUGGGGAAUAUUGGACAAUGGGCGAAAGCCUGAUCCAGCCAUGCCGCGUGUGUGAAGAAGGCCCUCGGGUCGUAAAGCACUUUAAGUUGGGAGGAAGGGCUUACAGCGAAUACCUGUGAGUUUUGACGUUACCGACAGGAUAAGCACCGGCUAACUUCGUGCCAGCAGCCGCCGUAA
RNAcentral lists this ribosomal RNA (500 nucleotides) under uncultured bacterium. RNAcentral's name for it is "partial 16S ribosomal RNA". It matches the Rfam family "Bacterial small subunit ribosomal RNA", at positions 30 to 523 of the family's 1533-position model. The record is from RNAcentral.